This 492-nucleotide ribosomal RNA is filed under the name uncultured bacterium. RNAcentral describes it as "partial 16S ribosomal RNA". It matches the Rfam family "Bacterial small subunit ribosomal RNA", at positions 29 to 507 of the family's 1533-position model. The record is from RNAcentral.
AGUGAACGCUGGCGGUAGGCCUAACACAUGCCAGUCGAACGGCAGCACAGUAAGAGCUUGCUCUUACGGGUGGCGAGUGGCGGACGGGUGAGGAAUACAUCGGAAUCUUCUUUUUCGUGGGGGAUAACGUAGGGAAACUUACGCUAAUACCGCAUACGACCUACGGGUGAAAGCAGGGGAUCUUCGGACCUUGCGCGAUUGAAUGAGCCGAUGUCGGAUUAGCUAGUUGGCGGGGUAAAGGCCCACCAAGGCGACGAUCCGUAGCUGGUCUGAGAGGAUGAUCAGCCACACUGGAACUGAGACACGGUCCAGACUCCUACGGGAGGCAGCAGUGGGGAAUAUUGGACAAUGGGCGCAAGCCUGAUCCAGCCAUACCGCGUGGGUGAAGAAGGCCUUCGGGUUGUAAAGCCCUUUUGUUGGGAAAGAAAAGCAGCAGGUUAAUACCCCGCUGUUCUGACGGUACCCAAAGAAUAAGCACCGGCUAACUUCGUG